This 3087-nucleotide long non-coding RNA is filed under the name Homo sapiens (human). RNAcentral describes it as "HSALNT0001994". Lineage: Eukaryota; Metazoa; Chordata; Mammalia; Primates; Hominidae. The record is from RNAcentral.
UAAAAGCAGGCUGCCGGAGCCGGGAGUGGCAAUCCCCUAAUGUUCCCUUCCACCUUGUGGAAGUUUUGUUCUUUCGCUCUUUGCAAUAAAUCCCAUUGUUGCUCGCUCUUUGGGGUCUCACUGUCUGUGCGAGCUGUAAUACUCGCCGCAAAGGUGUCUGGCUUCACUUCCGAGACCAGCGAGACCCCGAACCCACCGGGAGGAAUGAACAACUCCGGAUGGGAGGGACAAACAACACCAGACGCACCGCCUUAAGAGUCCUAACGCUCACCGCGGAGGUCUGCGGCUUCACUCUUGAAUGAAGCCAGCGAGAUCACAAACCCACCAGAAGGAAGGAACUCUGAACACAUCCGAAAAUCAGAAGGAACAAACUCCGGACACACUACCUUUAAGAACUGUAACACUCAAAUCGCGAGGGUCCACGGCUUCGUUCUUGAAGUCAGUGAGACCAAGAACCCACAAAUUCCGGACACUUCCCCACACAGAGGGAACUGGCCUAACACUCUGGUGGUGCCAAUAGGAUGUACUGACAGAUCAGAAGUGGUCGUGAGAGAAGGAGCAAGUAGCCAGAAGAGUGAAGUGUGCACUGGCUGAGAUGUGGGAGCAGGUGUUGUUGGUUUCCCCGGAGUCUUAUGUAUCAACAAAAUCACACCAGACCACCCAAAGCUGGCCCUGCCAACUGACCACACACACCCCUGCCUGAAAGGCAUGUUUCAAUGUGCAACAGACGCCUGCCACUCAGGGGACAUCAAAUGUUCAUGAGAACUCGCUAACCUCGAAACAGGUGACUGUCAAGACUGGCUGAGGAUUGAAACUCUGGGGAAAUUUGCUAGAAUAUGUGUGGAUUGCUGGGCCAGCUUCCCGAUGGGCUGAUCUUUAGGUGCCGGGCUGGGGAUGCGCAUUCUCAGCACUGCUGCUGGGUGGUUCUGUGAAGUAGACCCUUGGUAACCACUGCAUUAGACCACCUAGGUCUCUGCCACUUCCACACUGUGGACACUUCGAUGGAUCAUUCUUUGUGGUGGGCACUGUCCAGUGCAUUGCUGGAUAUUCAGCAGCAUUCCUGAACUCUUCUUGCCAGAUACCAGUAGCACCCUUCCUGUCCCCUCCCAUGUCACCAUAUGACAACCCAAAAGAUCUCCAGACGUUGCCACAUGUUCCCAGGCAGCAAACUCCCUUCCAUGGUAACUACUGUCCUAGGCUGUUUACAAGGUUAUUAGUGAUGGUGACAGCCAUAAUGAGGAACCAGGCUCUGUGCCGAGCACUCACUGCAUCUCAUUCUGUGUAAUCCUCAUGGUCAUAUUCUUAGGCAAUCUUUUCAUCAUUGUUUAUAAAACUCAGAGAAUUUAAACAGCUUUCCCAAGGUCAUGGGUAAUCAGUGGCCACAGCUUGAUGCCUACCUCUGUUUGACUCCAAAGUGGACUCAGGGGUCAGAUAGAUCCAGAGGGUGACAGAAACCUCAUCCUGGAGACUGGGGGUUCUUCCAAGGCUUGUUCUUGUCACUUUUUUUUUUUUUUUUUUUGAGAUGGAGUCUUGCUCUGUUGCCCAGGCUGGAGUGCAGUGGCGCGAUCUCAGCUCACUGCAAGCUCCGCCUCCCAGGUUCACGCCUCCCAGGUUCACGCCUCCCGAGUAGCUGGGACUACAGGUGCCUGCCACCAUACCUGGCUAAUUUUUUGUAUUUUCAGUAGGGACGGGUUUUCGCCAUGUUGGCCAGGAUAGUCUCGAUCUCCUGAACUCGUGAUCCGCCCUCCUCCGCCUCCCAAAGUGCUGGGAUUACAGGCGUGAGCCACCGCACCGGGCCUCUUGUCACUAUUUAACAAAGCAUAAUGGCUCCUCUCUGCCUACUCUACCAGAUCCAUGCUCUUUAGCCUGCCAGGCCAGGCUGUCCCUACCUCACAUCCCCUGAUCAGCUACAUUAUAAUCUAAGGCCUAUCUCCUCUUUAACCCUGAACGUACCUUGCUCAUUUUCACUGUAGGGCUGUUUCUUUCAUUCAGGGGUCUCAAACUCAAAUGUCUAUAGGGGCCUAGAGGGUAAAUUAACAAACAAAGUGGGCUCAGUGCAAGAUGAUAAAUGGCAAUGGAUCUUUCAGCCUCAUUUGGAGAGACCUUGGGAAUGGUGAGGACUGUGACCUCAGUGGAGCACCUACUUUACUGAGACAGGGCAGCUGCUUCUCCAUCUUGCCCUGUGCUAGUCUUGCUGGAUAUUUUAUUUUUCAAGAAAUAAAAUAUGGAAUGUGGAAUAAUAUGUGUGACUUAUCAAUUUUUAAAUUUUGGUAGGUUCUACAAAUUCAAAAAAACCACCCGUGGCCUGGCUCUGGGCUGAAGCUGAGUCCUGGCUUGAAAUCCCCUGCCUUAAUCUCUCUUCGAAGACUUUUCUGCAUUCAUCUGAGUCCUCAUCCUCCAAGGCAGGGCUCAGGCUUGGGCUCAGGCUCCCAGCCAUGUAUCCCUCCUGGACCAUUCCUGACUCCUUUCCAGUAUCCUUAUCACUUGUACCACAUACGUUGGCCUUUGAUCCUGUGUACUGUUGGAUUUGUCUUUACUUCACAGGUUCAUCUUGUCUCCCCAAGAACAAUGAGAGUUGCCUCAAGGGGUAGAACCAUGCUUUUUGUUUUCUUUUGAAUUCAUUACAGCACAGCCAAAAGCUCAACACACAAAACACACUCAGUAAAUAUCUGUUGAACAGAAUAAAAGCCAUUCCGCAUAACCAACCCUGAUCUCUUUUGCUGGACUGUAAACCAACCUACCUAUUGUUAGUCCUUCACAGAUUAUAUGGUGGAUCUGAACACAUCAGGUAGAACCUUUGAUAAACUUAAAGUCCUUCAUUGAAUCACUCUGUAGCCACUGUUUUCUCUAGGACAAAAGCUUUAAAUAUUUUGAGAAAAUUGUACAAGACCAUCCAUCCUGAUUCUCAUGGCUUUGGUUGUUCAGAAAGGAAAUCUUUGUACACACACCAUUUCACUGCCUCCUUUUCAGUUUCCCAAUUUGGAAAAAGGAAAAAUGUGAACUAUCCCCCUCUUCGCGUUCUUUUCUAACUGAAGUGAUAGAUUUCAGAGUCGUAUAAAGCUAAGAUUAUCGUUUAUCAUAUCUCAG